AUGGAGAACAGACAGAUGCUUAUAAUCAUACUCAUCACAGCUUCAGGUGGAUUUGCUGACAGAAUUGUACCAGAAGAAGGAGAAACUGAUAUGAUCAGUAAUGAAGGAGAGUCUGUGACACUGAGCUGUUUAUAUGAUACAAGCAGCAGUUAUGUUUAUCUUUACUGGUACAGACAUCAUCCUAACAGUGAACCUCAGUAUUUACUGCAUAAAGGUGCUCGAUCAUACAGCAGUUACAAAACCACAGAUGUUCGCUUUCAGUCAACAACAUCUCAAUCAUCUACUGAACUCACUAUAGACAGUGUUACUCUGUCAGAUUCAGCUUUAUAUUACUGUACUCUGAGAGUUGACACCCAAUGA
Molecule: non-coding RNA, 360 nt
Organism: Misgurnus anguillicaudatus (oriental weatherfish)
Lineage: Eukaryota; Metazoa; Chordata; Actinopteri; Cypriniformes; Cobitidae
Source: the annotation of a RefSeq genome assembly